UUAAUAGAAGCCAAAAUAGAGGCCAUUCACUGUUAAUGAAUGAAUUGACUUUUUCCUAUUAAG
Molecule: transfer RNA, 63 nt
Filed under: Argas sp. San Antonio ARK-2022a
Lineage: Eukaryota; Metazoa; Arthropoda; Arachnida; Ixodida; Argasidae
Also listed under: 1 other name
Description: tRNA-Asn
Source: RNAcentral